RNAcentral lists this long non-coding RNA (6784 nucleotides) under Sus scrofa (pig). RNAcentral describes it as "lncRNA (ENSSSCG00060025004.1)". The record is from RNAcentral. Lineage: Eukaryota; Metazoa; Chordata; Mammalia; Artiodactyla; Suidae.
ACGAGUGAUGACAAGAGUUUUACACAAGUUAAGGAUCAGACAGUUCUGGCUUGCUGUCCUGAUUCUGCCAUGUUACCUGUAGAAAAAAGGGGAGGGUUAUAUUCUUUUGGAGCCUCAGUUUUCAGAUAAAGACAAUGGACCCAGUUUAGGAAUGACAUGGUGUACUUUCUGGUCUCAGAGAUGGUUCCCAGUGGCCCCACCUCCUGGUAUUCACACCUUUGUGUAGUGCCCUCCCACACUCAGCUGAGUUGGUCUGCCCAGUGGAGAGGCCCAGGAGAUGGGAAACUGAAUCCUCCAGCCAAUAGCCAGAGAGGAGAAGGGGCCUGCAAGCAGUCACAUGAAUGACCUUGAAAGUGGAUUCUCCCCUGGCCAGAGUUGAGCCUGGAGAUGCCAGUAGCCCAAGUUGACAGUUUGACUGUGAUCUCCUGUCUGGUACCACCAGCUCAGCAUUCCUGGGUUCCUGAUCGCAGAAAUUCUGUGAAAUAGUAAAUAUUUGUUAUUUUUAGUAGCUCAUUUUUUUAAAGCUAAUUUGCUCUUCAGUGGUUGAAAACCAAAUUUGCAUGACGACAGGAAGAAGAGUAUUCUUUAUACUCUAAAAAAUUGAAAGCUUGCUGAACAUUUACAUAGGAAGUAUACGAGAUUUGCGUUUUAGAUUUUUUUUUCCAUACUUAAACCCUAUGUUUUCUGCCAGUUCUCAAACUAUAUUGUGAUAAAUAAACACCUGGUGAACUUGUUUAAAACAUAUACACCUAGGCUUCACUACCAAUCAUUCUGACUUAGAGAAUCACAGGCAGAGCUUAGGCAUCUUUCAUUUAAACAAGCACCUACACACCACCUCUCAGAAGCUCUGCCCUUGUCAAAUAGAGCCGUUACCCUUAGAACCAGUUCCGGUCCUUCUUGCAUAUCUUAGGAUAACACCCCAUCCCAGUUUGCCAAAUACUUUCUCUUGAAAGUGCUCUGUCCCAGGUGAUCCCUCAUUUGUGGGCACACUAUGAUGAUUGGUCAUUUAGCAGCUUCCCACACCAGCAUCUAUAGCUGGAGUGCCCUCAUCACCCCAGUCUCUGCACCUCUGCCUGCCAAGGUCUCACCCAGCAUUCAAGGCCCUGUUCAAAUGCUGUGUCUCCAUCCCAGAUGACUUCUCAGAUUCCCCUCUUUUAUUCUGAGAGCUUUUAGAUUCUCAAAGCAUGUUUCCUUUUACAGUAUCUUAGAAAAGGAACAUUUGUACCUUCUUUAUCCUUUGUAAAUUCCUGGAGGCAAGGCCUGCUGUCUUAUUCAUCUCAUAAUUGAAUGUCAGGCUCCUUGAUUUGAAGUGUUGAUUCAAGAUCAGUUGCCAGAUUGCUGAGGCCCUGAGGAGCAAACCUUUAGGGCAGGUGACAAAGCAUCUCUCUUUAGUGAGGUUUCUCAAUAUGCUCCCUUUCAGUAUGUUUGAAUUUAGAGAAAUCCUCUAUUUCUCACUCUGGCAACAGUAAAUAGGCUGCCAUUAUGAAGAAAAUGCUGCAUCAAGGCAGGUGAGUUCUUCCUAACACCUGAUAGUUCCUCACUGGCAGAGCUGACUGACAUGUUCCUAGGGCCUUCCACUUAUACCCGGCCUCUGCCUACCAGAUGUGUCAAUGAUGAAAAACAAUAUAAAAUUAGUUCGUAGAUGGCCCAUUAAGAUUUGCCAGGGAGUUCAUUAUAAUAAUAAAGAUCAAAGUAGGGAACUCAGCAUGCUUAAUUAUGACUUCAAAAUGCAAAGAAAUCCAUUCCAGCUCUCUCUUCUCUCAUCCUUGAAAAGGAUGAAGUUCUCUCUGCCCAGUUUCAGAUGGAUUCCAUUCAAAAGGAAGACUGUGCUUGGGGGAUAGGUGGUUUUAAUCAAAGGUUCGAUGUCUACUCUGUUUUGGCUGGAGGAAGGCAGGUUCAUUCAGUUGAUCCAGGGAAGGGAGGAAGGCUUUUCUUUUCAACUGUCGUCAUUUUUAUUGUGCUUGCUCUCCCAAAGUGUACAGUUUUCACUCUCCAGAGAAGUGAAGGCAGAAUAACUGGAGGACAUUUCUGGGCCAUAGUAAUAAUAAUAAUUGUUGUAAAUUGAAUACUGAGUUCUAGGACCUUUGCUAUGUGAAAGCAUCUCUUUUGGGUGAGGUUUUUCAUGGUCCCUUUGUGAAUUUAAAGUAACUUUGUGCUUUAUUCAGUGGUAGAUAGGGCAUUUUCCAACCUAGUUUUCCCAAUAAUACAAAGGAGGCAGUACCAUUAUUGUCUCCAUUUUACAGAUGAGGAAAUAGAGGCUUGAGGUUCAGUGAUUCACCCAGAGUCACACAUAAGUUACAUAAUAGACCAGGAUUCAGACCCACACAGACUUCCUUCCAAACCCAAGUUCAUAACGACUGCAUUAUGUUCCCCACCACCCUCACCACUUUCUUAAAAAAGAGAGUUCUAAUGAAACAAUUUUCUUUUUGAAAAAUCAUUUCAAAAAUGGUUACUCGGACAUUAACAAAGUGCCAAGAUCACUUCCUUCAUUCCUUAAUAUAUGUUUGUCUCCCCAGAUGUUGUGUACUGAUUAUUCAUAUUUUCUCAUUGAUUGAUGUAUAACUUCAAAAAUGCUUAAUUCUCUUUUCUCUUUGCUCUUUAAUUAGCAGCUUCCUCAACCUGAGCUGGAAGUUUUGUGUUCUUUCCUUCUUCCUCUGUCUUCUCCUCACCUCAGCCUUUCUGCCAACUAGUUUUUUUAAGUUGAAGGAAUUCUUUAUAGUUCAGAUAAUCAGCCCUCAAUUUACAUGUUCUGUAAAUUUUGGUUUUUAUGUAUUAAAUUGUCUUAGAAAGAGGUCACACAUUGAGAUGAAGUGAGACAUCCAGUGGUGAUAAGACUCCUAGGGGAUGUCUACUUAGAAAGUUCACUUUCAAGAAAAAAAAGCUAGACUCUGGUCUAAUUGCUGUUGAGGGACUAAUAAAGAUCUGAUAUCAGACUUGAGAAGGAUAUAGUUCAUGGCUCACAGUAGGGAAAAAUAAUAAAUAAGGGUUUUUACUGUAGGAAAGGACUUCAAAGGACAAAGAAAAAAGGAAGAUUAUCUUCAAUAAUACUAGGAAAUAUUAAGGAAGAGGAAGAACAAGGGCCUGAAUAUCAUUAAAUAUAUGAAAUAGUGGAAUUAAGUCCUUCAUUUUGCUUUGGCAUUGAAGUUGAGUGAUAAAAAGGAACGUGACCUUUUUUUGUAAUGUUUUUUAAUUAUUGUAACUUCUCACUGUAGUUUAAAUGUAGCCUGUAAGACAUUCCAGGACAAGGAAUGUGUCUAAUCAGUGCUGAUAUCCUUAGCAUAGAAUGAUUCCAACACAUAGCAGGCAUUCGAUGAUUAUAUCCAUAAUAAAAUUUUAUUUACUUACAUGUUUUAUUCCCUAACAUUUUAUUGAGAUAUAAUUGACAUAUAAUAAAACAUAUUGUUACCAUUUCCACUGUUUCUCAUUCCUGUGGAUGGAUCCACAUUUCCAUCUGCUAUCAUUCCUCUUCUGUAUGACGUUCUUUAACAUUUUUUUAUGCUGUGUCUGCUGAUGAUAAAUGUUCUCAGCUUGAUUAUGUCUGAAAGAGUCUUUAUAUAAUUUUUUGUUUUGAAGACAUUUUUGCUGGGUAUGAAAUUCUAGGUUGUGAGUUUCUUGCUUUCCAUAUUUUAAAGAUGUUUAUCCACCAUCUUCUCACUUGUUUUGCUACUAACAAGACAUUUUCUGUAAUUCUUAUCUUCACCCCUCUGUACAUAAUAUGUUUUUUUUUUCUUCCUGGCUGCAUUUAAAAGUUUUCUCUUUAUCAUGUGUUUUGAGAAGCUUAAUUGUGAUAUACUUUAGUGUUAGUUUCUUUCCUGUUUAUUGUGCUUAGAAAUUCAUUAAGCCUCGGAGUUCCCAUAGUGGAGCAGUGGUUAACGAAUCCGACUAAGAACCAUGAGGUUGCGGGUUUGAUCCCUGGCCUUGCUCAGAGGGUUAAGGAUCCAGCAUUGCCAUGAACUGUGGUGUAUGUUGCAGACGCGGCUCGGAUCCCACGUUGCUGUGGCUCUGGCGUCAGGCUAGGGGUCGAAUCAGAGCUGUAGCCACCGGAUUUUUUUAAUCUUCCAUGCCUUUAUUCAACUUCUUGAACAUCUGUAAUAUAAUUAUAACUGUUGUAAUAUCCUUGUGUGCUAAUUCUAAUAUCUAUGUUACUUCCAAGUCAAUUUCAAUUGAUUUUUCUUCUCAUUAAGGUCUGUAUUUUCCCCUUUGCAUGCCUGUUAAUUUUUGCAUGGCUACCAAAUAUUUUGAUUCUUACUUAUAUGAUGCUGUACUUCAAAAAUUUCUACGAAUAUUAUUGAGCUUUAUUUUGGCAGGUGGUUAAUUUACUUGGAAACAGGUUAGUCCUUUUAGGUCUUGCUUUUAGGAUUUGUUAGUUAGGACCAGAGGGGUGUUUGAUCUAGAGCUAAUUAAUCCCCACCACUGAGAUGAGAGCCUUCUGAGUCCUCUACACGAUGCCUAAGAAUUAAACCCUUUUCAUUCCAGCCAUUGGGCCCAGGCACAGUUACUGGCCCUGUAUGAACAUCAUGUACUCUUCCCUCUAACCUUUCAGGUGGUCCUCUCCCCAGCAGUGGGCAGCUUCUGCCAUGUGUGCACUGACCGAUAGCUGCUAAAUACUCAAGGAGAGCCCUCUGUGGGUUUUCCUCUGUCUCACCCUCUCUUAAGCGUCCUACUCUGCAAACUAUAGAGGCUUUAGUCUCCUAGACUCUUAUAUGCAGUGUGUAUGUGUGGACUCCAAGUGCUGGAUGGAUUCUUCUGGCUUUCUGCCUGGGAUGGGAUUUGCGUGACAGUAGACUGUAUCUUAAAGUCCUGUUCUGUGUACCCACUCCCUAUCUUUUAGGUCUUCUCUGCUGAGUGAAUGUUUUCUCCACUAGAGACCCAGUACCCAGCUGGGUUUAGGGGGGAGCUCCUUCCUUUACCCCACACCUUUCACCUCCAGGUACACACCCCAGCUUCCCCUACUUCCCACCAUCCCACACUGUCUUCUUUUUUCCUUGGUGCCAUUGAGACAGAAUCAGCCUCACCUCUCUCUCCAUCAGUCUCUUUUUCAUCUGGUUUCUUCACAGAAGAUAUCAACUUUGAGAGGAAUAUGGAUUCUCAUUGUUUUAAGCAGUUAAAAAAAUAAAUAAAUCUGCUUAUAAAAAGGAGAGUUUAUUGACUUAGAAGCCCAGAGUUAGAACUGGGUUUAUGUUAGAAGUUCAAUUUUUCAUCUUUAACAACUUUAACUUUCAAAAAAUGGAAACUUCAUAAUUUUAACUUCACAGUUUUUUCUGUCUCUCAGCUCUGCUUUCGCCUACAUUGGCUCUACUCUCAGAUUCUUUUUUUUUUUUUCAGCCAUAUAUUCUUUUUCAGAUUCUUUUUCAUUAUGUUUUUUUUUUCAAGAUAUUUAGUAUAGUUUCCUGUGCUAUACAGUGGGACCUUGCUUUUUAUCUACUAUUGGCUAAUCCCAAACUCCUAAUUUAUCCCUCCCUCCACCUUUCCCCUUUAGUAACCAUAAAUUUGCUUUCUCUGUCAGACAAAUUCUUGCUCAUGUCAAGAUGGCCGUGGCAGCACCAACCUAUGCUUUCUCAAGUCCAGCCCAAUGGAAAAAAAAGGUCUAUUGUUGUUCUAAGUUCUUCAAAAAAGUUUCACACCACUAUUGGCUCUAACAGGCUCACAUAUCCAACACAGAGCCAACACUUGGGCUUUUGCAGAGUGCAGGCUGGCUUAAGCCUUAGAACCAGCAGGGAAGCCUUACCCUGAACCACCUGACAUGAAGAUUAGGAGGGCUCAUUGCCCAGGACAACUCAGGAAGGGGCCAGUGGAACAGGCUCUGACCAUGACACUGUCUUGCUCCCAGUGCCUGAGUAAACAUGUUCAGACCAGUGUGGGAGAGGGGCUUCUGCUGAGCUGUUCCCUGUCCUACCUUGCUACUGAAAGCCAGCCAGAAUGCACAUAUGUGUUAUUCCAUGCAGGUGUCCUCCCCACAUUCUGCUGAAACUCAGAUGGAUAAAGUUGAGUGUGCACGAGUCAACAGAAGCCAAGAGAAGGUGGUAGUAUUUUUGUUGUUUGUUGCUUCAUUUAAAAAAAAAAAUCUUUUUGCUUUUUUUGUGAUUUUAAUUAACUUCUGGUUUUCCCUGUAACAUCUUACUCUAAGAAGACAUGUAAUUUAAGAAAUGUAAUUAUAUUGAUAAAAGAAGCUCAGUUGUCACUUGGAGAAAUUUUUUUCUGUGCCCAUGAGAAGACUAGCUGACAGUGGGAAAAUGACAGUGAAAAAAAUCUCCUGAUUGACUUUUCCAUAGAACUGCUCAAUGUGGUAUGUGUAGAAAUAAGUAAUCUCAAAGAUAAAAGCAGGUAAUCCACUUUAAAGUUGUGUAUAUGUGUGUGUGAACAAAUAUAUAAACACACACACGUACACACACACACACACACACACACACAAUUUAAUACUCUAUCUAAACUUAAUAUAGGAAGGACCCUUGUGUUGGAGUUAGGAACCCUGGGAUGUAUCCAUCUCUGCAGAUCAAUCCUUUAAGACAUUAAAAAAAAAAAUCGGAGUUCCUGUCGUGGCACAGUUAUUAAUGAAUCCGACUAGGAACCACGAGGUUGCGGGUUCGAUCUCUGGCCUUGCUCAGCGGGUUAAGGAUCCAGCAUUGCCAUGAGCUGUGGUGUAGGUCGCAGACACGGCUUGGAUCCCGCGUUGCUGUGGCUCUGGUGUAGGCCAGUGGCUACAGCUCCAAUUAGACCCCUAGCCUGGGAAUCUGCAUAUGCCAUGGAAGCAGCCCUAGAAAAGACAAAAAGACAAAAAAAAAAA